CUACGCUGCGAUAAGCCGUGGGGAGCUGCGAAGAAGCUUUGAUCCACGGAUUUCCGAAUGGGGAAACCCACCUUCGAUAGCCGGAACUCCAAGACCUUGUGUUUUGGGGUUCGACCAGAAAUGGAAGAAAUCAGACCGCGAGGUUUUGGAUUUCCGGUUAUCAAGAGAAGGUAUGAGACUUCCGAAUAAAAUAGGAGGUUUUAAGCAAACCCAGGGAACUGAAACAUCUAAGUACCUGGAGGAAAGGACAUCAAUCGAGACUCCGUUAGUAGUGGCGAGCGAACGCGGACCAGGCCAGUGAUACAUCAAAGACAAUCGGAACCUGUCAGGAAAGCAGGGCCUCAGAGGGUGAUAGCCCCGUACGAGUAAUGCGAUGAUGUAUCCACGAGUAAGGCGGGACACGUGUAAUCCUGUCUGAACACGGGGGGACCACCCUCCAAGCCUAAGUACUCCUCAGCGACCGAUAGU
Molecule: ribosomal RNA, 468 nt
Filed under: Bradyrhizobium sp.
Lineage: Bacteria; Pseudomonadati; Pseudomonadota; Alphaproteobacteria; Hyphomicrobiales; Nitrobacteraceae
Also listed under: 80 other names
Description: partial 23S ribosomal RNA
Rfam family: Bacterial large subunit ribosomal RNA
Source: RNAcentral